Molecule: long non-coding RNA, 270 nt
Filed under: Homo sapiens (human)
Lineage: Eukaryota; Metazoa; Chordata; Mammalia; Primates; Hominidae
Description: HSALNT0049270
Source: RNAcentral
GUGAGCACCAGGGGCCAAACCUAUGAUCUUCUAUUGAUUCGGAAACAAACCUCAGAGUGUGGCAUGAAGAAUAAUCAUGAUAAUGAAAUAAUAGCUGUGUUGUAAGAAUGCAAAGUUGGAUGCUAACAUUUGUCUGAGAUCAUGAAGAAGAGGAAUGGGAAGUUCAUGACAUCUGUGAAGUUAGUGACUAAGGCUGUAUGGCCUGUUUUUCCUGGAACCAGCAGGACUCCCAUCCAGGUCCACUCAAGUUGUGACACUGCUUGGCUUACU